GCGGAUGUGUCGUAAUUGGUAGCCGAGCCAGACUUAGGAUCUGGUGCCGAGAGGCGUGUGGGUUCGAGUCCCUCCAUCCGCA
Molecule: transfer RNA, 82 nt
Filed under: Bacteroidota bacterium
Lineage: Bacteria; Pseudomonadati; Bacteroidota
Also listed under: 1 other name
Description: Bacteroidetes bacterium tRNA-Leu
Rfam family: tRNA
About the family: Transfer RNA (tRNA) molecules are approximately 80 nucleotides in length. Their secondary structure includes four short double-helical elements and three loops (D, anti-codon, and T loops). Further hydrogen bonds mediate the characteristic L-shaped molecular structure. tRNAs have two regions of fundamental functional importance: the anti-codon, which is responsible for specific mRNA codon recognition, and the 3' end, to which the tRNAs corresponding amino acid is attached (by aminoacyl-tRNA synthetases). tRNAs cope with the degeneracy of the genetic code in two manners: having more than one tRNA (with a specific anti-codon) for a particular amino acid; and 'wobble' base-pairing, i.e. permitting non-standard base-pairing at the 3rd anti-codon position.
Source: RNAcentral